UGUUAGUCAUAUCACGAUAUAUAUCUAUGAACCCGGUCAGGUCUGGAAAGAAGCAUCCGUAAUAGAAUAAUAUAUAUGCUGAAAUCUGACUAACAGAU
This 98-nucleotide signal recognition particle RNA is filed under the name Candidatus Tachikawaea gelatinosa. RNAcentral describes it as "Bacterial small signal recognition particle RNA". It matches the Rfam family "Bacterial small signal recognition particle RNA". Rfam says of the family: The signal recognition particle (SRP) is a universally conserved ribonucleoprotein involved in the co-translational targeting of proteins to membranes. Archaeal SRP consists of a 7S RNA and homologues of the eukaryotic SRP19 and SRP54 proteins. Lineage: Bacteria; Pseudomonadati; Pseudomonadota; Gammaproteobacteria; Enterobacterales; Enterobacteriaceae. The record is from Rfam by way of RNAcentral.